UGAUGAGAGCAUCUCUCUCUCUCUCUCUCUCUGGUGUUCUAUCUUCAUCUACAGCAGCCACGACCCCCUUUCUCACAAUCUUCAUCAGAAACUCCUUUCUCUCCAUCUUCAUUUUGACCAUCACCACUACCAGACGCAAUCGCUAAACCAGUCUACUCUCUCUCUCUCUUUGUGAUUUGCAUCACUACCACCAGCGCCAAUCACCGAUCUCCGAGUUCAAUGGAACUCUGGUGUUUGAUUGAACACCAUUGUUUGGACUUCGAUGGAGGUCGAUUGGUCUAGGAAAGAGCACUACAAAUUGAUGAAGAAGAAGCCCUAAAGGUCAAUGAAGGUUGAGAUGAAGAACAAGUUCAUCAAUCAUUCUAGAAUCCAGAUUUUGCACAGAAGAAAUUGUCCAAGUGAAAAAGAGAGGAAUAUUAUGUCAAAGAAGAAAGCCCACCUACAAAUAAUAACAGCAAUGUUGACAUGCGUUGUGUCAACUAUAGAUCGAACAUGACAGGGUUGGUGAAAUUAAUGAAAAGCACAAAGUUCACAGAAGCACAACUCGGCUGCUUGCGGUGAACAUCUUUAUUGCAAUUAUUAGAUGCAUUGAGAACUGGUGAGAUCGAUCUUGACAAGUGCAUGAAGUAUGAUGAUGUUGUUGUGCAUGUCCUAUAGACGUACAAGGCAUCCAAAGAUGCCUUCUACAUUGGCAAGAAAAAAAUAAACAUACACGACAGCGACAUUAAAUUAAUUUUUGGUGUGUACUGUGGCACCAAACCAAUGGACGUAUCAUAUGGUGCGAAACCAAAGACUGACAUUAUAAAUGAAAGGUGCAAAAAUGUCAGCCGGCUGACUUCAAAAUUGAUACGCAUCCUUUUGACCGAGGCAUUGACUGGCAAGAAGAAAAAUGACAACAAAGAAGUCGCGCGAUUAGCCUGCAUGUUUGCAUGCCAUAAAAUUUUUUUCUCGAUGAGCAGCGAAACAAUAUGAUGGGGUUACUAUGCACAUAUGGUCCUAUUCGAAAGCAUGCAAAAAUAUGACUGGGCCAAACAAAUUAGAACAACGCUGACAUCCUCUAUUUUCCAAAACGACAAAAAACCGGGGAAAGUCACCGAAUGUGUCAUGUUGUUGAUGGUACAUCCGGUGGCGAGUCUGAUUGCUCACUGAGUGCUUGAAGUCCGCGGCGGAACGCCACAGGUCAUGCUGAAACUUGGAAGAAUAAAGUUAUAAGGAAUGCAAAGUUGAGCCAGGCUACAAUCUACGCCAGUUCAAUGCAUAGAGUGUGCUUGACAGUUGACCUUUUUAUUUUGAUGGUGCUACACAUAUGGAUAGGAAGUAUAGAGCUGAAUUCCAACUGGUUUUAUGCUCAUGUUCUAAGGCUUCUACCUAUUCCCUUGCGGGUUGUGCUUAGAGUCUUAUUUUAUUUUCUUAAUCGUUUGGUUCCAUGUAUAUUGGUCUAUGUGGCUGCUAUGGAAAACAUAAAAUUGAUAGGAUUGUUUUUGUAUGUGCUACUGAACAUGGUGUAUGUGGCUACUAUGGAAAACAUUACAAUGAUAGGCUUGUUUUUGUAUGUGCUAGCUAGAUAUAUGCUAGUAUAAAUGUUUUAGUUGGUUUGUUUUGUAUAGCUUUGGUGGGGCCUGGGGUAUACCCCUUGUAUUCUUGUAAUUUUUCUUGUUUUAUUUUAUGACUUAUUCACCAAUAUAUAUAUAUAUAUAUAUAUCUUGCUUCUAUA
Molecule: non-coding RNA, 1714 nt
Organism: Camellia sinensis
Lineage: Eukaryota; Viridiplantae; Streptophyta; Magnoliopsida; Ericales; Theaceae
Source: RefSeq, a predicted model, not a curated record